GACGAACGCUGGCGGCGUGCUUAACACAUGCAAGUCGAACGGAAAGGCCCCCACCUUGGUGGGGGUGCUCGAGUGGCGAACGGGUGAGUAACACGUGGGUGAUCUGCCCUGUACUUCGGGAUAAGCUUGGGAAACUGGGUCUAAUACCGGAUAGGACCAUGGUUUAGUGUCUCAUGGUGGAAAAAUUAUUGUUUUGGUGCAGGAUGAGCUCGCGGCCUAUCAGCUUGUUGGUGGGGUAAUGGCCUACCAAGGCGUCGACGGGUAGCCGGCCUGAGAGGGUGGACGGCCACAUUGGGACUGAGAUACGGCCCAGACUCCUACGGGAGGCAGCAGUGGGGAAUAUUGCACAAUGGGCGCAAGCCUGAUGCAGCGACGCCGCGUGGGGGAUGACGGCCUUCGGGUUGUAAACUCCAUUCGUUAGGGACGAAGCCACACCUUUUUUGGGUGUGGUGACGGUACCUUUGUUAAGAAGCACCGGCUAACUACGUG
Molecule: ribosomal RNA, 489 nt
Filed under: uncultured bacterium
Lineage: Bacteria
Description: partial 16S ribosomal RNA
Rfam family: Bacterial small subunit ribosomal RNA
Source: RNAcentral